GGGGGCGUAAAGGUUUCGACGGGGGUUGUGAACCUUGGUAAGCGAGUAGCGGUGCGGAACCGCUAUAAAAUCCGCAGCUUUAAAAUUAAACGACAACAAUACAGUUGCCUUAGCUGCCUAACGCAGCUCGUCCUGUUUAAGAGUACCACGGCUUAAAUAAGGGCGUCGAACAGUGGUGAACGUGUACAGGAGGAUUGUCUUGACCCUGUCCAUGUAUUAAAGACUACCGAUGAAGCAAGCCUGCCGACCGGCGUGCUUUUUGGGGAAUCCUAAAUCAUCGGCUACACUCGUAGAAAGCCUUGGCAAGUGACUUUCGGACAGGGGUUCAAUUCCCCUCGCCUCCACCA
RNAcentral lists this transfer-messenger RNA (347 nucleotides) under Lachnospiraceae bacterium. It matches the Rfam family "transfer-messenger RNA". From Rfam's summary of the family: Bacterial tmRNA, also known as 10Sa RNA or SsrA, is named for its dual tRNA and mRNA-like properties. Its role is to liberate the mRNA from a stalled ribosome. The record is from RNAcentral. Lineage: Bacteria; Bacillati; Bacillota; Clostridia; Lachnospirales; Lachnospiraceae. RNAcentral also lists the same sequence under 1 other name.